GUGCUUAUGUUUUAUUCCGAGCCCCUUUUGUGCUGAGCGGAUGCACAAGCUGGGCUCUGUGCAGGGGUAGGUGUUGGGCUGCCAGCGUGGCUGGGGCACUUGUGUCUGCCCACAGGUUGGUGGUUCUCUCCAGCAUCCUACAGGGAAGCAGGAGAGACUCAAACCUCUUCCUUCACAUACGGUGGUUUCAAGUGAUGUAGUGAUGAGCUACUAGACCUCGUGGGUUGCUGCAAGCGUUGCCACCAGCUCAGCUGAGAGCCAUGAGAUCUCAGGUGCAUCUUUAAAGCAAGGUGAAUAGAUGGGUGGGAAGCAGCUGUGCUCUGUAGGAUGACUUGGUAGAUCCGGUUUUGGGGCCAAGGAACAGCUGAGCCAAUGUGGGGAUGGUGUUGGAUCACAACCACUGCAUGCACGAGCUGGUCAUAGAAGAAACAAAGAAGAAGGAACUCUGAAAGUUUCCCCUUGCAUUUUUGCUGGUGUUUUUCUUGUCUGGUCAGGUGGUGCUCCAGCUGUCACUUUCCUCUGGUGCCACACAGUGAAAUGAGGGGACAGGAGAGCACGGACAGGCGAUCUUCAGGAGCUGAUAGCCAUCUGCAGUUGUCACACAUCUCAGCAGCACCUUGUCAGCAGUGAGGAGACUCCUCAAGAAGAGUCUUGCCCCUCCUCAAUCACCUCCAGAUGUGCCAGUCUUGUGCCAAGGAUGGCAAAAGAAGCAUGGGAAUAGCUGAAGCUGACACUCGCUUUCUCUUCAGCCAGAGCCAGAUGGAUUCCUGUCCUCACUUGAUAUCUCUACUGCAAUCCAUGAACUCCAACCUAAAGAAAAAAUACCCAAAGUAUAAGAAAUUCCUGCAGUAUGGCAGAACAGCCCCUCAACCAGGCAGGAAUGUCACACACCACCUGCAGCUCACCUGAAUGGUCAGCACAGUUGAAGGAAAACUUCUGCUGACUUUGCUCCCAGCAGCGUUCCAGCCCAUGUUGCCAGGUGGGAGAUGCCAAUGGGCAACAGCUUGUGUGAAACCUAGGUGCAUUUCUGAACCCGUCCCAGGCACGGCACACACACCAAGACACCCUGUAUUGCUAGCAGCAGUAGUAGGUUUGCGCAGAAAAAACAUAUUUGCAUUCCAUUCUGUUUGGAGUCUAAAUGGGACAUAACUUCAAAUUAACAACUAUCAAGCUGUAAUUCAACUCACAUGUGAGCAUUUCCCAUUAAGGGAGUGCAGCAAUUCCACCCAGGCUAGCCAGCCAGCCAAACGGAGUGAGCCUUGGUCCCAGAGCAUCAGAAGCAGCAAUGUUUCUCGCAGCAGUGAGUCUUGGGGCAGGGUGAUACACCACUGGUGGGUACCAAAAAGCAGAGCCCCUCUCCAGCCGUCAGCCCCUCCCCCUCCUGCCAAAUCCAGGCUGGAAUUGAGAGCGGAAAUGUUUGUGUGUAGCUCAUGAAGCUGGUUGGAAAAUUUUUGUCAAAACAGAUUUCCAUCAGAAAAUGACACCCUGUUGGCUUUGGCAAAUUUUUGUUCAGGAACAAAGUGGAGAGUGAAAAAAAAAUGUAAAUGUCAGCGUGCCCUUUUGACAUUUUCCCCAACGAAAAGGAUGGACUUGCUUGCUUCGAAAUGACUUUUCCUUGACAUUCAUUUUCUACAUUC
Long non-coding RNA from Gallus gallus (chicken), 1637 nucleotides. The record is from Ensembl. Lineage: Eukaryota; Metazoa; Chordata; Aves; Galliformes; Phasianidae.